UUGUCUCAAAGAUUAAGCCAUGCAUGUCUCAGUACAAACCACAAAUAAGGUGAAACCGCGAAAGGCUCAUUAAAUCAGUUAUGGUUCCUUAGAUCGUACCACAUUUACUUGGAUAACUGUGGUAAUUCUAGAGCUAAUACAUGCAAACAGAGCUCCGACCGGAGACGGAAGGAGUGCUUUUAUUAGAUCAAAACUAAUUGUGGCACCUUUGGGCUCCAUAUGCUUCUAUACUAUAUGUAUGUUCUUAUGUCCUAAUGUGUGUUCACACUAAAUACUGGUGAAUCUGAAUAACUUGCUGAUCGCAUGGUCUAGUACCGGCGACGCAUCUUUCAAAUGUCUGCCUUAUCAACUUUCGAUGGUAGGAUCUGCGCCUACCAUGGUUGUAACGGGUAACGGGGAAUCAGGGUUCGAUUCCGGAGAGGGAGCUUGAGAAACGGCUACCACAUCCAAGGAAGGCAGCAGGCGCGCAAAUUACCCACUCCCGGCACGGGGAGGUAGUGACGAAAAAUAACGAUACGGGACUCAUCCGAGGCCCCGUAAUCGGAAUGAGUACACUUUAAAUCCUUUAACGAGGAGCAACUGGAGGGCAAGUCUGGUGCCAGCAGCCGCGGUAAUUCCAGCUCCAGUAGCGUAUAUUAAAGUUGUUGCGGUUAAAAAGCUCGUAGUUGAAUUUGUGUCUCGCGCUGUCGGUUCAUCGCCAGCGUGCGGUGCUAACUGGCACGCCGCGGGACGUCUUGCCGGAAGGACCGGUGCGUAUUGCGCUUCGUGUCGUUCUUAAUAUCCAUGUACUCUAAAUUAUAUUCGUUAAAUAUUUGAUAAUGUAUUCACGACGCAAUUUUUAAUUGUUGCCGUGUUUCAUUGCUUUAUUAUAUACGGUAUAAUAUUGUCUUGGCUCUAUUAUGCUUCGGUCGGCGUUUUACGUACGUAGUCCGACUUUAAUCCUGUCUAGGUGCUCUUAACUGAGUGUCGUGGCGGGCCGGCACGUUUACUUUGAACAAAUUAGAGUGCUUAAAGCAGGCUAUUGUUGCCUGAAUACAGUGUGCAUGGAAUAAUGGAACAGGACCUCGGUUCUAUUUUGUUGGUUUUCGGAAUUUCGAGGUAAUGAUAAAUAGGGACAGAUGGGGGCAUUCGUAUUGCGACGUUAGAGGUGAAAUUCUUGGAUCGUCGCAAGACGAACUUAAGCGAAAGCAUUUGCCAAAGAUGUUUUCAUUAAUCAAGAACGAAAGUCAGAGGUUCGAAGGCGAUCAGAUACCGCCCUAGUUCUGACCAUAAACGAUGCCAGCUAGCGAUCGGCCGACGUUCCUCCGAUGACUCGGUCGGCAGCUUUCGGGAAACCAAAGCCUUUGGGUUCCGGGGGAAGUAUGGUUGCAAAGCUGAAACUUAAAGGAAUUGACGGAAGGGCACCACCAGGAGUGGAGCUUGCGGCUUAAUUUGACUCAACACGGGAAACCUCACCAGGCCCGGACACCGGAAGGAUUGACAGAUUGAGAGCUCUUUCUUGAUUCGGUGGGUGGUGGUGCAUGGCCGUUCUUAGUUGGUGGAGCGAUUUGUCUGGUUAAUUCCGAUAACGAGCGAGACUCUAGCCUACUAACUAGACGUACAUACUCGUUUUUCGAGUGCCCGGUAUUUCGAGGGUCGUUCCUGCUUCCUCUGGCCGUCGUUUGUGCGCGUCUUGUGCUUCGCUAAAGUAACGUUACGUGUUUUGUCCAUGUGGUUCGUGUCGGCGACGAAACUAGUUGCUUGUGGGCGAUCUUUACUACCGGCGUACAAAUAAAUCUUCUUAGAGGGACAGGCGGCUUCUAGCCGCACGAGAUUGAGCAAUAACAGGUCUGUGAUGCCCUUAGAUGUUCUGGGCCGCACGCGCGCUACACUGAAGGAAUCAGCGUGUCCUCCCUGGCCGAGAGGUCCGGGUAAUCCGCUGAAACUCCUUCGUGCUAGGGAUUGGGGCUUGCAAUUAUUCCCCAUGAACGAGGAAUUCCCAGUAAGCGCGAGUCAUAAGCUCGCGUUGAUUACGUCCCUGCCCUUUGUACACACCGCCCGUCGCUACUACCGAUUGAAUGAUUUAGUGAGGUCUUCGGACCGGUACUCGGCCGACGUUUCGACGUCGCCGACGCUGCUGGGAAGAUGACCGAACUUGAUUAUUU
This 2144-nucleotide ribosomal RNA is filed under the name Platychile pallida. Its description in RNAcentral is "SSU rRNA". It matches the Rfam family "Eukaryotic small subunit ribosomal RNA". Lineage: Eukaryota; Metazoa; Arthropoda; Insecta; Coleoptera; Carabidae. The record is from RNAcentral.